Molecule: RNA transcript, 1065 nt
Organism: Dromiciops gliroides (monito del monte)
Lineage: Eukaryota; Metazoa; Chordata; Mammalia; Microbiotheria; Microbiotheriidae
Gene: HSD17B8
Gene name: hydroxysteroid 17-beta dehydrogenase 8
Exons: 9
Source: RefSeq, a predicted model, not a curated record
CCUCUGUUCCCAUUGGUUUGGAGCCGAAGCCCUCUUUACCAUGGCGGCCCCGCUUCGGCUGCGUUCGGCGCUCGCUCUGGUUACAGGUGCCGGCAGUGGCAUCGGCCGGGCAGUCAGCCUGCGUCUGGCCAGGGAAGGGGCCCUCGUGGCAGCAAGUGACCGAAAUGGGGCAGCGGCCAAGGAGACCAUACAGCUUCUGGAGGGGACGGGGAGCGAGGCUGGGGCUGGCCCCGGGUGUCAUGCUGCUUUCCAGGCUGAUGUAGCCGAGGCUGGGGCCGCACAGGGGCUGAUAGAGCAAAUCCAGGCCUGCUUCUCCCGUCCACCCUCAGUGGUGGUCUCUUGUGCCGGGAUCACCCGGGAUGAGUUUUUGCUCCGAAUGCCUGAAGAUUACUGGGAUGAAGUCAUUGCUGUCAACCUCAAGGGCACCUUUUUGGUCACUCAGGCUGCAGCUAGAGCCCUGGUAUCCAGCGGGUGUGGUGGCUCCAUCAUCAACAUCAGCAGCAUCAUAGCAAAGGUGGGGAACCUGGGGCAAGCAAACUAUGCAGCAUCCAAAGCUGGAGUAGAUGGAAUGACCCGAUGUGUGGCCCGAGAACUUGGACGACAUGGAAUCCGCUGUAACUCCAUCCUUCCAGGAUUCAUCAUAACACCCAUGACAAAGAAAGUACCACAGAAAGUAUUGGACCAGAUAACUCCACAAAUCCCGAUGGGCCAUCUGGGGGUUCCUGAGGGUGAGAAACAAGGGUAAAGAAAAGGGAGAAAAUACAGCCAGGGAAACACUGAAAGGGGGAGAUAGAAAUUGGGGUUUAGAUGUGGCAGAUGUGGUGGCAUUCCUGGCAUCAGAUGAUAGUGGAUACAUCACAGGGACCACUCUGGAGGUCACUGGAGGUCUCUUCAUGUAACUCCCACGGGGUCCCAGGACACUGAAAUCAUCUUUCCCCAAGCAGCACCGUGGCCAAACAAGGGAAGAUUCAGAAAGAGAGUGGGGGGCCAGCGACUAUAUAUUGGGGAGACAAGUUAUAUGAAAAGGGUGUCUGUGACCCUAAUAAAUUCCAAAUCUUCCUACCA